GCAAACUUGGUCAUUUAGAGGAAGUAAAAGUCGUAACAAGGUCUCCGUUGGUGAACCAGCGGAGGGAUCAUUACCGAGUUUCCGCAAACUCCCAAACCCACCGCGAACCCUACCUCUCGUUGCUUCGGCGGGGCAGCCCCGGGCCCAGCGCGGCCCGGAACCAGGCCCCCGCCGGAGGCCCCACGAAACUCCAGAAUUCCGAGCGGCCCCCUAUGGCGGGCGAGGAGAAAAAAGCAAAAAACAAAGCCAAAAAAGAAUGAAUCAAAACUUUCAACAACGGAUCUCUUGGUUCUGGCAUCGAUGAAGAACGCAGC
This 314-nucleotide unclassified non-coding RNA is filed under the name uncultured fungus. RNAcentral's name for it is "partial contains small subunit ribosomal RNA, internal transcribed spacer 1, and 5.8S ribosomal RNA". The stretch from base 1 to 73 matches the Rfam family "Eukaryotic small subunit ribosomal RNA", at positions 1759 to 1831 of the family's 1831-position model. The record is from RNAcentral. Lineage: Eukaryota; Fungi.